GGGCCUGUAGUGUAGCUUGGAUAUCACUGAAGCCUCCGGAGCUUCGAACUGGGGUUCGAAUCCCCACAGGCCCGCCA
This 77-nucleotide transfer RNA is filed under the name Methanomassiliicoccales archaeon PtaB.Bin134. Its description in RNAcentral is "tRNA-Arg". It matches the Rfam family "tRNA". Rfam says of the family: Transfer RNA (tRNA) molecules are approximately 80 nucleotides in length. The record is from RNAcentral. Lineage: Archaea; Methanobacteriati; Thermoplasmatota; Thermoplasmata; Methanomassiliicoccales.